RNAcentral lists this ribosomal RNA (857 nucleotides) under Paenibacillus sp. RNAcentral's name for it is "bacterial SSU rRNA". It matches the Rfam family "Bacterial small subunit ribosomal RNA", at positions 25 to 875 of the family's 1533-position model. The record is from RNAcentral. Lineage: Bacteria; Bacillati; Bacillota; Bacilli; Caryophanales; Paenibacillaceae.
UAGAGAACGCUGGCGGCGUGCCUAAUACAUGCAAGUCGAGCGGAUUUAUCCUUCGGGAUAAGUUAGCGGCGGACGGGUGAGUAACACGUAGGUAACCUGCCUAUAAGACUGGGAUAACUAUCGGAAACGAUAGCUAAGACCGGAUAAUUGGUUUUCUCGCAUGAGAGAAUUAUGAAACACGGAGCAAUCUGUGGCUUAUAGAUGGGCCUGCGGCGCAUUAGCUAGUUGGUAGGGUAACGGCCUACCAAGGCGACGAUGCGUAGCCGACCUGAGAGGGUGAACGGCCACACUGGGACUGAGACACGGCCCAGACUCCUACGGGAGGCAGCAGUAGGGAAUCUUCCGCAAUGGACGCAAGUCUGACGGAGCAACGCCGCGUGAGUGAUGAAGGUUUUCGGAUCGUAAAGCUCUGUUGCCCUAGACGAACAGCAAGGAGAGUAACUGCUCUUUGUGUGACGGUAUAGGAGAAGAAAGCCCCGGCUAACUACGUGCCAGCAGCCGCGGUAAUACGUAGGGGGCAAGCGUUGUCCGGAAUUAUUGGGCGUAAAGCGCGCGCAGGCGGUCAAUUAAGUUGGGUGUUUAAGCCCGGGGCUCAACCCCGGUUCGCAUCCAAAACUGGUUGACUUGAGUGUAGGAGAGGAAAGUGGAAUUCCACGUGUAGCGGUGAAAUGCGUAGAGAUGUGGAGGAACACCAGUGGCGAAGGCGACUUUCUGGCCUAUAACUGACGCUGAGGCGCGAAAGCGUGGGGAGCAAACAGGAUUAGAUACCCUGGUAGUCCACGCCGUAAACGAUGCAUACUAGGUGUUGGGGAUUCGAUUCCUCGGUGCCGAAGUUAACACAGUAAGUAUGCCGCCUG